AAUAGAUACCCAGGUAGUCCACGCCGUAAACGAUGGAUGCUAGCCGUUGGCAGGCUUGCCUGUCAGUGGCGCAGCUAACGCAUUAAGCAUCCCGCCUGGGGAGUACGGUCGCAAGAUUAAAACUCAAAGGAAUUGACGGGGGGCCCGCACAAGCGGUGGAGCAUGUGGUUUAAUUCGAGGCAACGCGAAGAACCUUACCAGCCCUUGACUUCCCGAUCGGGGCUCCAGAGACGGAGCUCUUCAAUUGGUCGGUGACAGGUGCUGCAUGGCUGUCGUCAGCUCGUGUCGUGAGAUGUUGGGUUAAGUCCCGCAACGGGCGCAACCCUGCCAUUAGUUGCCACCAUUAAAGUUGGGCACUCUAGUGGGGACUGCCGGUGAUAAGGCCGGGAGGAAGGUGGGGGAUGACGUCAAGUCAUCAUGGCCCUUACGGGCUGGGCUACACACGUGCUACAAUGGCAGUGACAAUGGGCAGCCACUCCGCGAGGAGGAGCUAAUCCCAAAAAGCUGUCUCAGUUCGGAUUG
Molecule: ribosomal RNA, 522 nt
Filed under: uncultured bacterium
Lineage: Bacteria
Description: bacterial SSU rRNA
Rfam family: Bacterial small subunit ribosomal RNA
Source: RNAcentral